CAGUCGCCGCGGGAAUACGAUGGGGGCUAGCGUUGUUCGGAUUUACUGGGCGUAAAGGGCGCGUAGGCGGACUGAUAAGUCAGGGGUGAAAUCCCAAGGCUCAACCUUGGAACUGCCUUUGAUACUGUUUGUCUUGAGUUCGAGAGAGGUAAGUGGAACUGCGAGUGUAGAGGUGAAAUUCGUAGAUAUUCGCAAGAACACCAGUGGCGAGGGCGGCUUACUGGCUCGAUACUGACGCUGAGGCGCGAAAGCGUGGGGAGCAAACAGGAUUAGAUACCCGAGUAGUCCCUGUCUCUUAUAC
RNAcentral lists this ribosomal RNA (301 nucleotides) under uncultured bacterium. RNAcentral's name for it is "partial 16S ribosomal RNA". It matches the Rfam family "Bacterial small subunit ribosomal RNA", at positions 509 to 807 of the family's 1533-position model. The record is from RNAcentral.